AGGAAUCUGCCUAUUAAUGGGGGACAACAUCUCGAAAGGGAUGCUAAUACCGCAUACGCCCUACGGGGGAAAGCAGGGGAUCACUUGUGACCUUGCGUUAAUAGAUGAGCCUAAGUCGGAUUAGCUAGUUGGUGGGGUAAAGGCCUACCAAGGCGACGAUCUGUAGCGGGUCUGAGAGGAUGAUCCGCCACACUGGGACUGAGACACGGCCCAGACUCCUACGGGAGGCAGCAGUGGGGAAUAUUGGACAAUGGGGGGAACCCUGAUCCAGCCAUGCCGCGUGUGUGAAGAAGGCCUUAUGGUUGUAAAGCACUUUAAGCGAGGAGGAGGCUCUCUUGGUUAAUACCCAAGAUGAGUGGACGUUACUCGCAGAAUAAGCACCGGCUAACUCUGUGCCAGCAGCCGCGGUAAUACAGAGGGUGCGAGCGUUAAUCGGAUUUACUGGGCGUAAAGCGUGCGUAGGCGGCUUUUUAAGUCGGAUGUGAAAUCCCCGAGCUUAACUUGGGAAUUGCAUUCGAUACUGGGAAGCUAGAGUAUGGGAGAGGAUGGUAGAAUUCCAGGU
RNAcentral lists this ribosomal RNA (562 nucleotides) under uncultured bacterium. RNAcentral describes it as "bacterial SSU rRNA". It matches the Rfam family "Bacterial small subunit ribosomal RNA", at positions 119 to 674 of the family's 1533-position model. The record is from RNAcentral.